This 409-nucleotide long non-coding RNA is filed under the name Androctonus crassicauda. The record is from RNAcentral. Lineage: Eukaryota; Metazoa; Arthropoda; Arachnida; Scorpiones; Buthidae.
AGUGCAUGAAAUGAUGUCUUAAGCAACAAUUGCUAACUUUUUUCGUUAUGCAAGGUUUAUUAAAGGUAAUGUGGUUGCAAAAGAAGAAAUCCCAGGUAGUGAUCACAAUACUGGUGAAGCCUUCUACAAGAACUUCAUCGUAAAAUCCCACAUGUGCCUGAGACCUGACUUUUCAGGAAUUCUUAGAAAUAGAUCGGAACAUUUUAUGUAUGGAAGAAAUAUUGAUGAUGAGAUAAUUAAGCAAGUUUUGAACUUGAAUACAGAAGAACAAUCCAAUGAAGAUGAAAAAUGUGAGGCCAUUCCAAGACCUACACUUGAAGCCACUGAAUGGCUGUCAGGUUUACAUUAUUUUUGACAGAUAACCAUAAUACUCGGGCGCUUCUAGCAGUCAAACAGUGAAGUUUUAUUA